This 164-nucleotide non-coding RNA is filed under the name human gut metagenome. RNAcentral describes it as "Lysine riboswitch". It matches the Rfam family "Lysine riboswitch aptamer". Rfam says of the family: Riboswitches are metabolite binding domains within certain messenger RNAs that serve as precision sensors for their corresponding targets. Allosteric rearrangement of mRNA structure is mediated by ligand binding, and this results in modulation of gene expression. This family includes riboswitches that sense lysine in a number of genes involved in lysine metabolism, including lysC. The record is from RNAcentral.
AUGAUAGAGGCGCGGAUCUCAUAAGUAUUUUCUGUCAGGGGCUCAAACCCCGCUUACCGGAGAUGAAAGGGAGCUCCGCCGAAGUCCAAGGUCAUUUGAGUGACGGCGGGCUGGGCGGCCGGAUAAUAUCCUGUCGACUGUCGCCGAAAUUGCGGAGUGCUAUA